CUCUUGUGCUUAGUCGUGCCAAAUGAAAACGGCAGUUAUAUUUGAACCUGCUUAGGCGGGUGUUACUAUAGUAACAAUAAAAAGAAUUACAAUAUACUAUGUUGUAGAAUAUAACAUAGAGUAAUGUUUUUCAUUUGUGCUCUUAUGUAGCUAAUUAGGCUUACAUUGUUAGCACAUUUCUGUAAGCAUCUAUUUUUUUUGCCGGGAAACAGCAAGCCGGCUACUGCUAUAUAAACGGAUACAACGAAGCAGACCGCAUCCAUUGAGAAAGCCGCCGAAGCGGAGAAACGCGUUUGGAGGGGUCUGACUCCCAUCGAUACAAGCCAGCACUCAUACAUCAAAGAGGACUUUUAAAAUGAUAUUUUUCAGCAUGCUUUUUGGUUGACUCGGGACGCCGAGAUUAUCAAAUAAGGUCUGGACUUUCUUUCCUUUUGUGCAUGGUUUUUUUUCUUAAA
Pelobates cultripes (western spadefoot toad) is the source of this 455-nucleotide non-coding RNA. The record is from the annotation of a GenBank genome assembly. NCBI's taxonomy places the organism in Eukaryota, Metazoa, Chordata, Amphibia, Anura, Pelobatidae.